Small nuclear RNA from Octodon degus (degu), 147 nucleotides. Its record names the gene U4. It matches the Rfam family "U4 spliceosomal RNA". Rfam says of the family: U4 small nuclear RNA (U4 snRNA) is a component of the major U2-dependent spliceosome. The structure of U4 snRNA from yeast and human has been reported. NCBI's taxonomy places the organism in Eukaryota, Metazoa, Chordata, Mammalia, Rodentia, Octodontidae. The record is from Ensembl.
AGCUUUGCACAGUGGCAGUAUCGUAGCCAAUGAGGUUUAUCCAAGACAUGAUUAUGGCUAAUUGAAAAUUUUUCUCAAAUUGCAGUUUGUAAGACCACCAAAGAAACUCCUAUCUUACUUUUGCUAUUUUUGCAAUGAGUGUAGCUU